UACAGAGGUCUCAAGCGUUGUUCGGAUUCAUUGGGCGUAAAGCGCACGUAGGCGGUCUGUUAUGUCGGAUGUGAAAGCCCUUGGCUCAACUGAGGAGGUGCAUCCGAAACUGGCAGGCUGGAGUACGUAAGAGGGUCGCGGAAUUCCCGGUGUAGAGGUGAAAUUCGUAGAUAUCGGGAGGAACACCGGUGGCGAAGGCGGCGACCUGGGACGAUACUGACGCUGAGGUGCGAAAGCGUGGGGAGCAAACAGG
This 253-nucleotide ribosomal RNA is filed under the name uncultured bacterium. RNAcentral's name for it is "partial 16S ribosomal RNA". It matches the Rfam family "Bacterial small subunit ribosomal RNA", at positions 524 to 776 of the family's 1533-position model. The record is from RNAcentral.